RNAcentral lists this ribosomal RNA (460 nucleotides) under uncultured bacterium. Its description in RNAcentral is "partial 16S ribosomal RNA". It matches the Rfam family "Bacterial small subunit ribosomal RNA", at positions 338 to 795 of the family's 1533-position model. The record is from RNAcentral.
CCUACGGGAGGCAGCAGUGAGGAAUAUUGGUCAAUGGACGCAAGUCUGAAUCAGCCAUGCCGCGUGCAGGAUGACGGCUCUAUGAGUUGUAACCUGCUUUUGUACGAUGGUAAACCCCGAUACGUGUAUCGGGUUGAAAGUAUCGUACGAAUACGGAUCGGCUAACUCCGUGCCAGCAGCCGCGGUAUUACGGAGGAUCCGGGCGUUAUCCGGCUUUAUUGGGUUUAAGGGGUGCGUAGGCGGUUUGAUAAGUUAGAGUUGAAAGGUCGGGGCUCAACCCCGAAACUGCCUCUAAUACUGUUGGACUAGAGAAUGGUUGCGGUAGGAGGAAUGUAUGGUGUAGCGGUGAAAUGCUUAGAGAUCAUACAGAACACCGAUUGCGAAGGCAGCUUACCAAACUAUAUCUGACGUUGAGGCACGAAAGCGUGGGUAGCAAACAGGAUUAGAUACCCUGGUAGUC